CAUCUACUCCUUCCGUCCCGUAUUAAGUGCCGACAUAUUACAUGUAUCUAGAUGUAUUUUAGUAUAUAGAUACGUCCAGUUUUAGACAAAUUUGAGUCACUUAAUAUGGGACGAAAGGAGUAUGAA
Non-coding RNA from Brachypodium distachyon (stiff brome), 126 nucleotides. NCBI's taxonomy places the organism in Eukaryota, Viridiplantae, Streptophyta, Magnoliopsida, Poales, Poaceae. The record is from Rfam.